UGACAAGCCCAUAAGAGAUGCUACAAGGGAUGCAGAUUUUACUAUGGCGGUAACAUUGUACUACAAACCGCCAAGGUGCUCGGAAGUCUCCAGUCCCGUUCAAUAGUGGAGCUUAUUGCCAUGGAGCAAAUCAGGAGCCUUACAGCAUGUGGGAAGUUGGCACAGACUCUGGAAGAGUUAAUUGAGAGGAGUGAUAGAUGGCUGAGCUGUAGCAACAAAACCGCAACUCCAAGCACUCCAAGGGUGCUCGAGGGAAGCGGGCCACCCAGUCAUAUUCCAGAUCCAGUGGUGCUCAGUGGAAGAACGACUGAAUCUGCAAGUUCAAAUCAACAGGGGUGUGGUUAUCACUGCUGAUCUUCUGGAGUGCUGAAACACAGGGACCACUGCUCAGAAACUUACCAACGACCUGCUGCGGAGUCUGUACGACAGAAACUGUCUGGCUUCUCACUCUGUCUCAGCCAUUGUUAACAGCAAGCGAGGGAUGCCUAAACCGACUCCUCCUGCUCAUGAGAUCCAGGCCGUUCUGAGUAUGUAAUGAUGGAUCAGACAGUGAGGAAAUUGUGUGCCAUUUGUUACAAAUACAUCACUGUGGGUGUCCUCUCGUUAGUCUAAUCUUAAGUUUGAAAAUGCAUUCUGUUCCAUUCCAUUAACUGCAAUCAAGCCAUUGUAAAGUUUCUGAUUAAUUGUGGUCAGAAGUUUGAAUUUUUGGUCACCAGUCAAACUUUCUCAAUAGGGAUAGUGCAGCAGUUCUUCCAUGGGAAGACAGAUUCGGAGAUAAAGGGCUACAUUCGACAAAAGCUUCAGAAUGAGGCCAAGAGACACCCAGCUGAUGAUCCAUUGGUGGGCUCUUUUGAUGAAGCGGGAACAAUGGUUGAGCACUGAGUUUUGCCUUGUGUACUGACACUUUAUCCAACAAAUGGCAGGACAUUCCCAAUGAAUUUUGUUUGUUAUACAGAAACAAACAAAAACCACUAUUGAAGACGAUGGUAGUAGUUUCUCCUCUAUGUAUUUGAAAGGCUUCUGUCUAAGCUAUCGAAUAUAUGACCAAUUAUGUGUGUAUGAUUUUAUCGUGUUGAUUACACAAAACUGUGACUUUAUAUUGUUUUGAUAUUGCAAAAUGAGCAUAAUUAGUGAUACAUCGAGGACAUGUGGGUGAAUGAGUAACUUCAGUGUACUCCCAGUUUCACUGCCAGAAGUUAUUUCACACUUAUGAAAUCAUACACUGUUUGUUGUGCACCAAAACUUCAAAUGAAGUAGACUAAAGCUGUGAACACAGUGGCAGAUGGUAAAGCAUUGCUCUCCUGUAAAAUUACAUGAAUGUCACUUUGUGGGGGGUUACACUGUGAUUGAUGUUGUCAGACUUGUGGUAUUUUUGUUGAUCACAUGUUGAAAGUGGAAUGUGAAUAUAUUUUCUG
This is a long non-coding RNA of Myxocyprinus asiaticus (Chinese sucker), 1415 nucleotides long. RefSeq lists it as uncharacterized. The transcript is spliced from 4 exons. NCBI's taxonomy places the organism in Eukaryota, Metazoa, Chordata, Actinopteri, Cypriniformes, Catostomidae. The record is from RefSeq and is a predicted model, not a curated record.